RNAcentral lists this ribosomal RNA (484 nucleotides) under uncultured bacterium. Its description in RNAcentral is "partial 16S ribosomal RNA". It matches the Rfam family "Bacterial small subunit ribosomal RNA", at positions 30 to 507 of the family's 1533-position model. The record is from RNAcentral.
AUUGAACGCUGGCGGCAGGCCUAACACAUGCAAGUCGAGCGGGUGAAGGGAGCUUGCUCCUGGAUUCAGCGGCGGACGGGUGAGUAAUGCCUAGGAAUCUGCCUGGUAGUGGGGGAUAACGUCCGGAAACGGGCGCUAAUACCGCAUACGUCCUGAGGGAGAAAGUGGGGGAUCUUCGGACCUCACGCUAUCAGAUGAGCCUAGGUCGGAUUAGCUAGUUGGUGGGGUAAAGGCCUACCAAGGCGACGAUCCGUAACUGGUCUGAGAGGAUGAUCAGUCACACUGGAACUGAGACACGGUCCAGACUCCUACGGGAGGCAGCAGUGGGGAAUAUUGGACAAUGGGCGAAAGCCUGAUCCAGCCAUGCCGCGUGUGUGAAGAAGGUCUUCGGAUUGUAAAGCACUUUAAGUUGGGAGGAAGGGCAGUAAGUUAAUACUUUGCUGUUUUGACGUUACCAACAGAAUAAGCACCGGCUAACUUCGUG